UGGGGAAUUUUGGACAAUGGGCGAAAGCCUGAUCCAGCAAUGCCGCGUGCAGGAUGAAGGCCUUCGGGUUGUAAACUGCUUUUGUACGGAACGAAAAAGCUUCUCCUAAUACGAGAGGCCCAUGACGGUACCGUAAGAAUAAGCACCGGCUAACUACGUGCCAGCAGCCGCGGUAAUACGUAGGGUGCGAGCGUUAAUCGGAAUUACUGGGCGUAAAGCGUGCGCAGGCGGUUUUGUAAGACAGAUGUGAAAUCCCCGGGCUCAACCUGGGAACUGCAUUUGUGACUGCAUGGCUAGAGUACGGUAGAGGGGGAUGGAAUUCCGCGUGUAGCAGUGAAAUGCGUAGAUAUGCGGAGGAACACCGAUGGCGAAGGCAAUCCCCUGGACCUGUACUGACGCUCAUGCACGAAAGCGUGGGGAGCAAACA
Molecule: ribosomal RNA, 427 nt
Filed under: uncultured bacterium
Lineage: Bacteria
Description: partial 16S ribosomal RNA
Rfam family: Bacterial small subunit ribosomal RNA
Source: RNAcentral